GUCCCUUGUGUUAAGGUGCAUCUAGUGCAGUUAGUGAAGUAGCUUAGAAUCUACUGCCCUAAAUGCUCCUUCUGGCACAAGCU
This 83-nucleotide microRNA precursor is filed under the name Ornithorhynchus anatinus (platypus). RNAcentral's name for it is "mir-17 microRNA precursor family". It matches the Rfam family "mir-17 microRNA precursor family". Rfam says of the family: This family represents the microRNA (miRNA) precursor mir-17, family, which includes mir-20, mir-91, and mir-103. miRNAs are transcribed as ~70nt precursors (modelled here) and subsequently processed by the Dicer enzyme to give a ~22nt product. In this case the mature sequence comes from the 3' arm of the precursor. The extents of the hairpin precursors are not generally known and are estimated based on hairpin prediction. Lineage: Eukaryota; Metazoa; Chordata; Mammalia; Monotremata; Ornithorhynchidae. The record is from Rfam by way of RNAcentral.